CGGGUGAGUAACGCGUGGGUAACCUGCCUUACACAGGGGGAUAGCAGUUGGAAACGACUGGUAAUACCGCAUACCUUACAUUAUUCGCAUGUUUGAUGUAAGAAAGAUUUUAUCGGUGUAAGAUGGACCCGCGUCUGAUUAGCUAGUUGGUGUGGUAACGGCAUACCAAGGCGACGAUCAGUAGCCGGCCUGAGAGGGUGAACGGCCACAUUGGGACUGAGAUACGGCCCAG
This 232-nucleotide ribosomal RNA is filed under the name uncultured bacterium. RNAcentral describes it as "partial 16S ribosomal RNA". It matches the Rfam family "Bacterial small subunit ribosomal RNA", at positions 103 to 334 of the family's 1533-position model. The record is from RNAcentral.